Molecule: unclassified non-coding RNA, 334 nt
Filed under: soil metagenome
Description: partial contains 5.8S ribosomal RNA, internal transcribed spacer 2, and large subunit ribosomal RNA
Rfam family: 5.8S ribosomal RNA (bases 1-120)
Source: RNAcentral
GAUGAAGAACGUAGCGAAAUGCGAUAAGUAAUGUGAAUUGCAGAAUUCAGUGAAUCAUCGAAUCUUUGAACGCACAUUGCGCCCCUUGGUAUUCCAUGGGGCAUGCCUGUUCGAGCGUCAUUUGUACCUUCAAGCUUUGCUUGGUGUUGGGUGUUUGUCCAUUCUCUUGCAGAGGGACUCGCCUUAAAGUAAUUGGCAGCCAGUGUUUUGGUUUUGAAGCGCAGCACAAGUCGCGAUUCAACGCUAUACGCCAGCUUCCACAAGCCUUUUUCACUUUUGACCUCGGAUCAGGUAGGGAUACCCGCUGAACUUAAGCAUAUCAAUAAGCGGAGGA